GCCUGGGUGGCGGAAUAGGUAGACGCAAGGGACUUAAAAUCCCUCGGUAUCUGAUACCGUGCCGGUUCGAUUCCGGCCCUAGGCACCA
RNAcentral lists this transfer RNA (88 nucleotides) under Propionigenium maris DSM 9537. Its description in RNAcentral is "tRNA-Leu". It matches the Rfam family "tRNA". From Rfam's summary of the family: Transfer RNA (tRNA) molecules are approximately 80 nucleotides in length. Lineage: Bacteria; Fusobacteriati; Fusobacteriota; Fusobacteriia; Fusobacteriales; Fusobacteriaceae. The record is from RNAcentral.